ACUAAACAAGUUUGGAAUGUGUUAUAUAAAUUCAACAAACGUCAAUUAUGAGUUAAUUUCCCACAGUUAAAUCUAGCAAUAAGAGCUACAAUGCUAAUAUUUGUGUAAACUCUUCACAGUUGUGUUCUGUGGGUGUCAAGAUCCAUAGGUAAGGCUGUACAUUGUAAUAUGAACGUUCGACACGUACAUGAGGUGAAUUCCCACAGUUAAAGUCCCGCAAUAAGUCCUACGACGCUAAUAUUUGUGAAACUCAGUACAUAUAAGUAUGCCCCAAUGCAAUUCUGAAGUCUAAUACAUCCACAGUGCGAUUUCAACUGAUUUGUUCUUUUUUCAAAUUAACAAAUUAUUGUAUUUUGCUGAAUUUAUAUAACAAAUAUUGCUUUAUAUAACAACAUGCCAUUUCUAACCUUGUUUAGAAUUACCUAGUCUAAUUGUGUCAUGAGUCCACUAUUUAUAUCCGUUUGCAUGUUUCAAUAGGAUACUUUUAUUUUGAAGGCGAACCACCGAUUCCACUAUUGUUGCUCACGCUAAUGUUGUUCAUGACACACGUGUGCACAAUGACUGAAUAUAAUGUUCCCUUCCCACCAAUACUAUUCCCAAACGAUUAGCCUCAACUCCCAAAUAACUAUGCAUUGUGAAAGUAUUUGCGUAGCCUAUCCGCACAAUGCAUAGCUGAGACUGGAUAUCCAUUCAGCGGCAGCAUUUAUAACAUUGUAGAUUCAUUCACGUCUUUGUGCGAAUCUGAAAAAAGAUAAGUCAAUAUACAUCAUUUCCGGUGUGAAGAAAACAAUCACCACAAUGGCGCAAUCCAGUGUUUUUAGCUUCAGACACAAGUCGACAUGAGAUUUAUAAAAUAUUUUAAAGUAGGCUAGUUGUCAUAAACAACAGGAAGGGACGCUGGCUUGUAAUAAUGAUGUUAUAAGCACAUGUCAAGUGCUAAUUCGCUCAGGGAAAACGAGCAAUAUUUGUCACAUAUCGAGGUGAGCAGCAGCAUCCUUGCUCACGAGGACACAUGCUUCUGCCUCGAGACGAGAGGCACCAGCACCAGGGUCUGACUCUGAUAAAGAUACCAAAUCUGAGAGCCAUCGACCUUGCACGCAAAAUUCGCCAGGAGAAACAGAAAGGAAAGGCAACUGGUGUGGGUCAGAAGAGACUGUCCCUUAUCCUCGGUGCCAGUUGCCGCGUUCAUAUGCUAGUAGGAACUAGGAAACUUGGAAAUGUCCUACUUGCUAAAUGGUUGUAGUUCUACACGUGCCGCGUUCAACCAGUUAGCAAGUCGGAAAUUUCGUAGUUCCGACUAGCAUGUGAAUGCGGCAAGUGUCCCCACUGCUAAAAGAGGGUCAUCGAGCUGCGACAGUUCACUCAGCAGCUGAGUAAUGUUCACCCCAACGUUCUGGCCAAGCACAUUCACAGAGGUCUGAUCCUUCCACAUCCAGAGCUCGGUGUCAUCAAUAAGCCAUAUGGAGUUUCUGUUCAAGGUAUUGGGUGUUGUAGCAAUGUAUUUACAUGCCUAUUACAUUAUGGUACAUUAGGCUUAUAUGAUCAAACACACAGUCAAGGAUUAUACAGUCAAGGAUUAUGUCAUGAAAGAGAUUGUUCAUUUGAAAGUCACUUGUACAAAAUACACCCUAAUACCCUGAGCAGUGGUCAAAUUCACUGUGAUUUAAAUCCAAUAAUCUUCCGCCUAGAUGGGUCAAAGGACAAAAACAAUAUCAUGGAUGUCUUCCAGUCCUUGCCAAGGUGCUGGAUGGCAUGAGGGCUGGGUCCCACUCCCAGCUGCAAGUCUGCCUUGGAUUGGACAAGGAGACAACAGGGACCCUCCUGCUGGCAAGGACUGAGGAAGCACUGGGCUAUGUACAAAACCUCCACAAAAACAACCAAGUGGAGAGGAAAUAUUGGUGUGUGGAUGUCUAAUGUCUAUGGGUGUUUAGAGAUUUAGUUUAAUAUAAGGUUCCAGUCAGCACAUCAUUCACUUUUCAAAACCACCAAUUGAGGGCAGCAACUGAGAAUAUGCCAUAGAGUUAUUGUAAUGACCCUGCCAUUGAUAAGAUAUGAUUGACAUCCCUGUCAUAGAGAGAGAAGUCACAGGGACAGUAGAGUGCACAACUCCUGUCAUUUUUGUAUUGGUGGCUUUCAGCAGAUACUGAGAUGUCCUUCAGAUUUUGAAGUUGGCAUCUGUUAUAGAACCUGUAUUUGUACAUAAUGUAUUGUGUAAUUGUAUACACCUAACCGCCCAUAACCCCUCUCAUAUGGGCCUGAGUCCUGUGUACAGGGUGAGUGACUAAAGUGCAGGCCAAUCGGCAGGCCCAGGGGGCAGUGACCCAGUACCGUGUCCUGGACAGCAGUAACGGCUGCAGCCUUGUGGAGCUCCACCCCAUCACAGCUCUGGGAUGUCAUAUCAUUGGGGACCACAAAUACUCCCACUGGACAAAACUUCCACCUCAGAAACUGCGGGAUGGUGUGUUACGGAGGCUGGGAUUAGAACAAAGCAAGGCACGUCACCUUCCGCUCCACCUGCUCGCACAUCAGCUGACACUGUCAGAGAUAUCACUGUGUCCUGCCCGCUGCUGAAGUAGUUCACCAGCACCCUGCGACAACUGCAGAUCCCCAUUCCAGAUAAGAAAGAGGAUGAACGGUGCAUCAGUGGCUCCUAUGCAGAGCAGACAGAAUACAGAAGACUUUUGCUUCAGAAAUAUGAAGCGGCAUCACUUCAAGUGACCCUUGACAUUUACAUUUUAGUCAUUUAGCAGAUGCUCUUAUCCAGAGCGACUUACAGUUAGUGAGUGCAUACAUUUUCAUACUGGCCCCCCGUGGGAAUCGAACCCACAACCCUGGCGUUGCAAGCGCCAUGCUCUACCAACUGAGCUACAAGGAGGCCUAAUGGUUGUUCAAGUCCAUACCUGGAAUUAUAAAAUAGCAUUUAUAUUGUAACAGUACUUUUCUGAUUUCACAUGCUAGGAUCCUAUUUGUUGUUCAAUUCCCAUAGGAAAGGCAACAGAGUUAGUUAUUUGAAGACUAAACAUUUCUCUUUUGUAGGUUCCUAUGCAGACUUUUGCCUACCAGAGGAUCUCACCUGAGAGAAAAGGGGGUGGCGGUUCAGAUAUCUCACUAUUUCUUCGAAUCAGUACUGAAUAGUAGUCUGCUUAAUUACCGGCACAUGUCCCAGUCAUGUGUGAAUACUGCAGCAUUUAACCUACUGCAUUGUGAACACAACAUCGGAGCUAAGACUUGACUGAAACUCUUAAAAAGGUACACCGUCUCUCAGUCAUUCACAGUACAAAGGCACGUUUGAAAACACAGGCUUUCUUAUUUAGCCUCCAAUACCACUAGAAUAUCAAUACAUACAGGAGAUAAUAAAUGCCAAUAAAAAAAAAAGUUACAAAAAGUGAGCAGAGGUCCCAUUAAAUGUCUGUUGGUGUGUAAUCCACUCUGCUCUUGGCUCCUGUCCUGUCUGGGACCUGAGAGCUUGGAGGACAGAGGCGCAGGAGGGUCCGCGUGAGGGCAAACAUGUUAAAGGGGGUAAAUGUCCACAUACGCUCCCCUAUGUAUUUAUUUGGACAGUGAAGCUAAAAUGUGUACAUUUGUCCCUAUACUCCAGCAUUUUGGAUGACAUCAAAUG
Long non-coding RNA from Coregonus clupeaformis (lake whitefish), 3619 nucleotides. RefSeq lists it as uncharacterized. Lineage: Eukaryota; Metazoa; Chordata; Actinopteri; Salmoniformes; Salmonidae. The transcript has 3 exons. The record is from RefSeq and is a predicted model, not a curated record.